Molecule: small nuclear RNA, 107 nt
Filed under: Moschus moschiferus (Siberian musk deer)
Lineage: Eukaryota; Metazoa; Chordata; Mammalia; Artiodactyla; Moschidae
Source: RNAcentral
GUGCUCGCUUCAGCAGCACAUAUACUACCGUUGGAACAAUGCAGAGAAGAUUAACAUGGGCCCCGUGCAAGGAUGACACACAAAUUCGUGACACGUCCCAUGUUUUU